Molecule: ribosomal RNA, 1339 nt
Filed under: Exophiala bonariae
Lineage: Eukaryota; Fungi; Ascomycota; Eurotiomycetes; Chaetothyriales; Herpotrichiellaceae
Description: LSU rRNA
Rfam family: Eukaryotic large subunit ribosomal RNA
Source: RNAcentral
AAGAACAACAGGGAUUGCCUCAGUAACGGCGAGUGAAGCGGCAACAGCUCAAAUUUGAAAUCUGGCCUCUUUGGGGUCCGAGUUGUAAUUUGUAGAGGAUGUUUCGGGUACCGCCUCGGUUUAAAUUUCUUGGAACAGAAUGUCAGAGAGGGUGAGAAUCCCGUCUUGGACCGGCGGUAGGGCCCAUGUGAAACUCCUUCGACGAGUCGAGUUGUUUGGGAAUGCAGCUCAAAAUGGGUGGUAAAUUUCAUCUAAAGCUAAAUAUUGGCCAGAGACCGAUAGCGCACAAGUAGAGUGAUCGAAAGAUGAAAAGCACUUUGAAAAGAGAGUUAAACAGUAUGUGAAAUUGUUGAAAGGGAAGCGCUUACAACCAGACUUGCGCGCGGCGGUUCCCCCUUCCUUUUGGUUGGGCUACUCCGUCGUGUCCAGGCCAACAUCGGUUCUGGGGGUCGGUUAAAGACCUUGGGAAUGUACCUACCCUUCGGGCGUAGACUUAUAGCCCAGGGUGUCAUGCGACCUCCCGGGACCGAGGAACGCGCUUCGGCUCGGAUGUUGGCGUAAUGGUUGUCAGCGACCCGUCUUGAAACACGGACCAAGGAGUCUAACAUCUAUGCGAGUGUUUGGGUGUCAAACCCGGAACGCGAAAUGAAAGUGAACGGAGGUAGGAAGCCGCAAGGCUGCACUAUCGACCGAUCCUGAUGUCUUCGGAUGGAUUUGAGUAAGAGCAUAGCUGUUGGGACCCGAAAGAUGGUGAACUAUGCCUGGAUAGGGUGAAGCCAGAGGAAACUCUGGUGGAGGCUCGCAGCGGUUCUGACGUGCAAAUCGAUCGUCAAAUCUGGGUAUAGGGGCGAAAGACUAAUCGAACCAUCUGGUAGCUGGUUCCUGCCGAAGUUUCCCUCAGGAUAGCAGUAACGUUUUCAGUUUUAUGAGGUAAAGCGAAUGAUUAGAGGCCUUGGGGUUGAAACAACCUUAACCUAUUCUCAAACUUUAAAUAUGUAAGAAGUCCUUGUUGCUUAAUUGAACGUGGACAUUUGAAUGUAUCGUUACUAGUGGGCCAUUUUUGGUAAGCAGAACUGGCGAUGCGGGAUGAACCGAACGUGAGGUUAAGGUGCCGGAAUGUACGCUCAUCAGACACCACAAAAGGUGUCAAUGCAUCCAGACAGCCGGACGGUGGCCAUGGAAGUCGGAAUCCGCUUAGGAGUGUGUAACAACUCACCGGCCGAAUGCAUUGGCCCUGAAAAUGGAUGGCGCUUAAGCGUGCUACCUAUACCUCGCCGUCAGGGUUGACAUGAUGCCCUGACGAGUAGGCAGGCGUGGAGGUCCGUGACGAAGCCUUGGG